RNAcentral lists this transfer RNA (73 nucleotides) under Ovis aries (sheep). It matches the Rfam family "tRNA". Rfam says of the family: Transfer RNA (tRNA) molecules are approximately 80 nucleotides in length. Their secondary structure includes four short double-helical elements and three loops (D, anti-codon, and T loops). The record is from Rfam by way of RNAcentral. Lineage: Eukaryota; Metazoa; Chordata; Mammalia; Artiodactyla; Bovidae.
UCCCUGGUGGUCCAUUGGGUAGGACUUAGCGCUUUCAUUGCCCAGGGCCUAGGUUCAACCCCUGGUUGGGGAA